AUGGAGCUUGACACACACGCUCUCGCCUUCCUCCCGCUGGUGCUUGUUGCCUCGCUCGCGACGUUCCUCCAGCCUGCCGCUGCAAACGAUGGCACGCCACGUCCCGGCGGAGGCUUCAGCCUCCGCCUGGUCCCUUACGGCGGCUGGAACAGCACCAUGCACGUCGACGGCGGCGGCUUCCUGCACCUCAACGAGCAGGCAGCCACCACUGCGCUUCGGCCGCAUGUCCACGGGCCGAGAGGGCUGACAUACAGCGUGGCCACCACCGUCGGGACGGGCAGCGGCCGCCGCACCUACGACCUGGUGCUGGACACGGUCAGCAGCCUGACAUGGAUGCAGUGCAUGCCGAUUGCGCAUCCUUUCCCACAGAUUCCGCCGCCCUUCAACCCGGAGAUCUCGUCGUCGUUCAGACGCGUCUCGCGCAGGAGCGACCUGUGUCAUAAGCCAUACAGGGGCACCGAUUGCGAGUUCCGGGUGAACCGCCUCGACGGCGCACACGCGAGCGGUGUGCUCGGCAACGAGACCUUCGCCUUCGCGAACGAUGGUGGCGCGGCUGCGGCCGCGGAGGUUCGCGGCGUCGUGUUUGGCUGCGCGCACACCACCACGGGGUUCCUCAGCCAUGGAGUACUCGCCGGCGUCCUCGGCCUGGGGAAGCAGACACCGUCGCUCAUCUGGACUCGGCUCCACCAGCACGGGCAGGACGGCCGCUUCUCCUACUGCCUCUUCGGGCCCGGGCGUCCGGACAGGCACGGUUUCCUCCGUUUCGGCGCAGACGUCUCAGCCACGGGCCACAUGAAGAGCACCAAGAUCCUCUUCAUGCGCUUCACGACCGACCCGCACUUCAGCGGCUACUUCGUCAGCGUCUUGGGCGUCAGCGUCGCCGACAAGGCCCUGGUCCCGCCACCUGGACAACGCCAAAUGAGCAUAUUAUUACGGCGCCACAGGUCGCACGACGGUAGGUGGUACGGCGGGUGCCUCAUCGAUCCGGGGACGAGCACGACGGCGAUAACGCAGCCGGUGUACCACGUCCUGGAGCACGCCGUGGUGGAACACGUCACGAGACUCGGGCUGCCGCUCGUGAAGCGUGACGGGUACCGCCUUUGCUUCAGCGGUGCGACUCAGGCCGCCCUCGAGUACCUGCCGACGGUGACGCUGCGCUUCGAGGAGGGCGCCGAGCUCGUGAUCAGGCCGCAACAGCUCUUCGUCUUUGUUCAGCACGAUAUCUGCCUCACCGUGGUGCCGAGCAAGGACAUCACAAUCAUCGGGGCGAUGCAGCAGGUGGACACGCGCUUCGUCUAUGACAUUGCAGCCGGCAAGAUCCAAUUCGCCCCUGAGAAAUGA
RNAcentral lists this ribosomal RNA (1341 nucleotides) under Triticum aestivum (bread wheat). RNAcentral's name for it is "partial small subunit ribosomal RNA". The record is from RNAcentral. Lineage: Eukaryota; Viridiplantae; Streptophyta; Magnoliopsida; Poales; Poaceae.